RNAcentral lists this long non-coding RNA (671 nucleotides) under Triticum aestivum (bread wheat). RNAcentral describes it as "long non-coding RNA (TAES_LNC010188)". The record is from RNAcentral. Lineage: Eukaryota; Viridiplantae; Streptophyta; Magnoliopsida; Poales; Poaceae.
UCACUACCUUUGAAACCAAAUCUCACAGAGUCAUUCUAGCACCUCGAGUCAACACCCUGAAGAAAAAAUGAUAUGGUAUCAUGCAUGUGCAGCAAACCAAUCGAGAAUUCAGAACAACAAAAGUAAAAUUCAUGUCGAUCCAUACCUCCAUCUGGCACCCUAGAUCCUGAGAUGACCAGUACUGAUCGCCGUUCAUUUAACUAGUCAUGUACCAAAAAUGCCCGAAAGCAAUUCCCAUGAGUACAGGUUAUAGAACUCGUAUGCCUCCUCAAGUGAGUCAAAUCGGGUAGAUAUGGUCGUCCGAAAAAAUAUGUAUUUGUUGAUCUGCCUGAACAAUUCCUAAGGGCCAAUUCUAUAGCUCCAAUCUCUUUUGACGGCCCAACACAAACAUCAGAUCCUUUCCUGCAGACACCAUGCAUAUAAAUGGCAAACAUGAAGGCCAGGAACUAGUAAGAAUGAAUUUCACAUUUGAUAUAUCACUGAGUUCAGAGAAAUAUACAGAUUCAGUGGGAACACAUGAAUGGACAGAGCAAAAAUUCAGAAAAAUACAACAAUGAGAAGAAUACAAACAUCCAAUAUGCAAAACAAGACAUGUCCAAGCCCAGUCCCACCAGCACCUGGCCUCAGUGGCCAAGCUUUACUAAUUGGAAAAAGAAUAAUGCUGCUGCUCC